CACAAGCGGUGGAGCAUGUGGUUAAUUCGAAGCAACGCGAAGAACCUUACCUGGCCUUGACAUGCUGAGAACUUUCCAGAGAUGGAUUGGUGCCUUCGGGAACUCAGACACAGGUGCUGCAUGGCUGUCGUCAGCUCGUGUCGUGAGAUGUUGGGUUAAGUCCCGUAACGAGCGCAACCCUUGUCCUUAGUUACCAGCACGUAAUGGUGGGCACUCUAAGGAGACUGCCGGUGACAAACCGGAGGAGGGUGGGGAUGACGUCAAGUCCUCAUGGCCCUUAUGGGUAGGGCUUCACACGUCAUACAAUGGUCGGUACAGAGGGUUGCCAACCCGCGAGGGGGAGCUAAUCCCACAAAGCCGAUCGUAGUCCGGAUCGCAGUCUGCAACUCGACUGCGUGAAGUCGGAAUCGCUAGUAAUCGUGGAUCAGCAUGUCACGGUGAAUACGUUCCCGGGUCUU
This 458-nucleotide ribosomal RNA is filed under the name uncultured Pseudomonadaceae bacterium. Its description in RNAcentral is "bacterial SSU rRNA". It matches the Rfam family "Bacterial small subunit ribosomal RNA", at positions 924 to 1382 of the family's 1533-position model. The record is from RNAcentral. Lineage: Bacteria; Pseudomonadati; Pseudomonadota; Gammaproteobacteria; Pseudomonadales; Pseudomonadaceae.